Rattus norvegicus (Norway rat) is the source of this 11811-nucleotide long non-coding RNA. RefSeq lists it as uncharacterized. The record is from RefSeq and is a predicted model, not a curated record. NCBI's taxonomy places the organism in Eukaryota, Metazoa, Chordata, Mammalia, Rodentia, Muridae.
UGGUUAAAGUGCUCAGUAAGCUGGGGACACAUGGUUCAAUGGGGGCAUUGCCAAGUAUGCGAGAGGCCCAGUGUCACAAAACCAGUAAACUCGAACAGAAAUAGACUGUAAUAACCUCCUCAAGGUCUCCCAGAAGGAGGCUGGUUUGCUACAGUCCGAUCGUCUGAGCACCGCAAAGGAAGAGCGGAUCCCAAAGGUUGGGAAAGCUGGGCCUUUAAUUCUAGAGAGUCGGCGUCCAAACUUCCAGCUCAAGGAUGGAGACGGUGAGCACUGCGAAGCUUGAUUCAUGCGGUUUUCAGACGAAUCAGGUGAUCGGUGAGUAAUGGUCUGGCGGUGUUUCUCAGUGGUCAGAGCAGGUGCAUAGUGUGCACAGAGCUGAGUUCAAUCUUAGCACCAAACAAACGCAAAAGCUACAAAUUUUACUCAGGACUCGGCAUCUGACUUUCUUCUCUUUUUUAACUUGUAUUUAUUUAUUCUUUUAACUUUAUGUGCAUUGAUGUUUUGCCUGCUUGUGUAUCUGUGUCAGGGUGUCAGGUCCCCUUGAACUGGGGUUAAAGAUGGAUGUGAGCUGCUGUGUAAGUGCUGGGAAUUGAACCUGGGGUCUCUGGAAGAACAGCCAGUGCUCUUGACCACUGAGCCAUCUCUCCAGCCAUAGCAUCCGACUUUUUAUUUGUUUUUUUUGUUUGUUUGUUUGUUUGGUUGGUUUUGGUUUUUUUUUUGUUUUUGUUUUUUGUUUGUUUGUUUGUUUGUUUCAGAGCUGAGGACCAAACUCAGGGCCUUGUGCUUGCUAGGCAAGCGCUCUACCACUGAGCUAAAUCCCCAACCCCAGCAUCCGACUUUUUAAGGAACUGUUACCAGAACAAAAAACUAUUUGGACAGAGAGCUGCCUUCCCAAUCUGACUUGGUUAUCAGCCUUAGGCCUUCUGAUUUUCACAUUUUAUUAUUUUUUUUUCUUACACUGGGGACUGAAUCCAGGACGUCUUAUAUACUAGGUAAGUGUUCCACCACUGAGCUAUAUACCCUGAACUCUUCCUUUUAUUCUGAGGCAGAUUUUCAAUAAGUUGCCCAGGCUUGCCUAAACCCUCCCUUCUUUUCUUUCUUUUUUCUUUUUUCUUCCUUCCUUCCUUCCUUCCUCUCUUUCUCUCUUUCUCUCUUCCUUCCUUCCUUCCUUCCUUCUUCUCUUUCUCUCUUUCUCUCUUUCUCUCUCUCUCUCUUUCUUUCUUUCUUUCUUUCUUUCUUUCUUCCUUCCUUCCUUCCUCUCUUUCUCUCUUUCUCUUUCUCUCUCUCUUUCUUUCUUUCUUUCUUCCUUCCUUCCUCUUUCUCUCUUUCUCUCUUUCUUCCUUCCUUCCUCUCUUUCUCUCUUUCUUUCUUCCUUCCUUCCUUCCUUCCUCUCUUUCUCUCUUUCUCUUCCUCUCUUUCUCUCUUUCUCUCUUUCUCUCUUUCUUCCUUCCUUCCUUCCUUCCUUCCUUUCUGGGGAGAUAAGGGAGUGUUGAGACAGAGUUUCUCUGUGUAGCCCUGGCUGACUUGGAACUCACUCUGUAGACGAGACUGGCCUCAAACUCACAGAGACCCGCCUGCCUCUGCUUCCCAAGUGCUGGGAUCAGAGGUGUCACCACCUCUGCCCAGCUAGUCUUGAACUUUCAAACAGCCUUCCAACAUCUGGGACUACAGGUAGUCCUUGUUGCUUUAUUCUCUCUCUCUCUCUCUCUCUCUCUCUCUCUCUCUCUCUCUCUCCCUCUCUCUCUCUCUCUCUCUCUCUCCCUCCUUCCUUCCCUCCCUCCCUGCCUCCUUCCCUCCCUCUCUCCCUCCCCCAAAUAUUUAUUUUAAGUUAUGUGUAUGCAUGUAUUGUGUAGUGGGGGUAUGUGGACAUGCAGUCAAGUGCCCACAGGGUCCAGGAGAGAGUGUCACAUUCUCCUGUGACUGGAGUUACAGGAGCUGCGAACUGCAGCAUGAGUGUGGUGGGAACAGAACUCUGGUCCUCUGCGAGAGCAGCGAGCCAUCUCACCUCUGAGCCCUCUCUAGCCCUCUAUUGUCUCUUUCUUGUGAUGUUAGAUUCCUCUCACAAACUUUUUUUUUUUUUAAACUUUUCACCAAAUUGACCUGUUGAAGAGCCCUGGUCAGUGACCUAUGGCAGGCCCAGCAUUUUGGACUGUCCGAUUUCUCAUGAUGUCAUUUACUCGCUUCUCUGUGACUUGCACUCCAGUCCCUCUUCACUUAGUGUGGCCACAGGAUUUCGGCCUGCCUGACAUGAGCCCCAGCAGCUGACCACUGGGCUCCUGUCCUUUCUGCCUCAGUUCUGUCUUAGAGUUCCCUUGAUGUCAGUAGGUCAUGAGUCCUAAGAAGAUGCCUCCUGCUUCCCGCCUGUCUAGAGAUCAGAGUCAGGGAAGGCUUGGGGUUUCCACAUCCAACACGUGAGCAUCCUUCAGUGCCCUCUGGCUCUUAGACCACAGGCCCCCCUGCUCUCUGCAGGUAAGCAAGCCUUUUUGUCUUUGGCUAGGGCAGAAGAGGGCUGGAAUCCUGGAGGUCAAAUAGCUUUCUGUUUUGUUUUGUUUUCUGAUUUGUUUUUUCAAGGCGGGGGUCUCUCCGUGUAGUCCUGCCUGACCUGGAACUCACUUUGUAGACCAUGCUGGUCUUGAACUCACAGAGAGCCGCCUGCCUCUGCCUCUGCUGGGAUUAAAGGUAAGAACCACAACACCUGAUUUCUAGCUUGCUUUCUUUAGAUAGGGUCUUACUAUAUAUCCCUGGCUGGCCUCGAACUCCCCAUGUAGACCAGGGUGGCCUUGAACUCACGGAGAUCUGUCUGCCUCUACCUCUGUCUCCCGAGUGCUGGAAUUAAAGCUUCUUGAUUAACACUUAGGGUUGAACCUGUGGUUGUGGGUUCCCGGCCUUUGAUGCCUGGGAACGAAGUUGUUUGUGUUCUCCCAGCGUGUUCUCAGAACUGCCUGGAUGGCUGUGGCUUUACAAUCUGCUUCCCACUUCUGGCUGUUGCUGCUUGUUGUCUCUGUAUUCUUGGUCCUGGUGGGCUAGUUUUCUCUGCAAAUCUCUUUCCUGGUGCUUAGCCAAGAGUAGAGAGAGCAGGCUAAAUUCAUGGCGGCUAAUCCACCAGCUCUAUCCACCAGUGGAUUUAGAAAAAUGCUUUGAAUGGCCAGGUGAGUUUUUCAGUGAGAAAGGUUUGCUUCAGAGGCAACAUCGCCCCUAGGCAUUUGGAUAAACCUUGAAGUCCGGUUGCUCAGCGGGAUGCUGGGAGAAUUUAGAAUUACAGAGAAAGGCGAGUAGUCUGAGACCAGAGAGGAAGGGAAGAUGGAAAGGUAGCGCAGAUGUGAAAGAACCCAGGGACAAGUUGGAGCCACACUCAGGCUGUAACUUAGGGCAGGAGGAGAGCUUUGCGCUGGUAGGAACUCCCUGGUGUGUGUGUGUGUGUGGGGGGGGGGAGUGCUGGUUGAGGAGCUUGGGAGAACAGCUCUGCCGUCCAUCUUAGGCCGGCUGUUGGACUGGCAUUAGCGAAGGGUCUGCUGCCUUCCUGUGUCUACAUUUUCUUUCUCUUUGAGUUGAGCAUCCGUGUUUGGGGGGAAAGAGCCCAUUUCCUUUGCAGUAAAUUAUGGCCACACAAUUCUGUUCUUGCCGAUAGGACAUAGCGUAAGUAUGUCUGGGUCUUAGACGAUAAAUUUGAGCAUAAAUGUCACAUCGGAAUCCCAGAAAGGCCAAUUAAAGGGAUUUCCUCAGUUGUCGUACCUUUAAACCCCAUCUGCCUGCAGACUGAAAUUUAGAUGAAAUGGCUAGACUUGUAGGAGUUAUUGUGCCUUGUGAAGUAUUCUUUCUAUUUUCCAUGUAUUUAUCUACUUAUUGGGGGUGGGGGGUCUGUACCCUGGCACACAUGUGGAGAUAAAAGACUCCUUCCACCAUGGGGUGGUCAGGCUUGGUGGCAGGCACCUUUACUCACUCUCCAUCUCGGGGGUCAGUGUUGUUUUGAGGUGUUCUUGAAGAAAGAAUUGGAAUCCAGGCUAAAUAAUGUUAUGUGGCUACCAGUACCACAGGUCCGGUCUGCCUGUCUCUGGCAUUUUUCUUUAAUGUUACAGAUACAUGAAAUUCUCUUUGCUUUCUGUUUUAUUAUAGUAAUCACUCAUGAGCCAAGUGCCUCGGAAGCUCUCAGAUUGCAUAUUAGCGUGUCUAAUCCUCCCCACCGCCAGCCGUGAGAGGUAAGUACUGUUCUACCUCUGUUUUUCGGGUGAGGAACUCGGGAGGCUUAAAGAGGUUAACCAGCUUGGCUAUCGAACGACCUGGCUUUAGCAGUGAUCAUCUGGCCUUGAAACAAACACACCGUGCCUCUGUAGUCACAGAAAUGUCACCAGCCAAGCCCAUUCUGACUGACACCUUCCCUGCCUGCCGCCCCCACAUCUUGGAUUAUAGAAUCAGAGUGCUAGCACACCGAGCAUGCCCAAGAAAUGAAGGAAGAAGUCUCCGGAGUUCCGGGUUGUAACCAGCACAGAUAUCAAUAAAGGCCCCCGGGAGAGGCAGAGGAUUAGAAAAGGUCAGGUGCCCUGGAGGUCUGAAGUGUAGAUUAGGAACAGGUAAGAGGGGCUGAGGUGUGGAGCUCAGUUGCUUAGGAUGUGCGAAGCCCUGGCGUCAGUCCCCAGCAACACACAGAGUACAGGAGGAGCAAAAGUUCAGGGUCAUCCUCAGCAUAGCAACGUUGAGAUGGCUGGGCCUUGCUAGCUACCUGUCUCAAGACAUGGUUCCCUCUCUCCCACGAUCCUCUAUGCAGUCUCUGGUUUGCAUUUGUCGAGCAUUCUCAGUGUUUAGCAACAUCCUAAGUAAGGUGUGGUCAUCUGUACAGCCUGGCGUCUCUUGAGCUGAGCUGAUGUAAGGAUUCAUUAGGAAAUCUGAGAUGUUGUACCCAUUAGGAUGAGAGAGCCCUGUAAAUUCUACUGCGCGCUGGAGAACCAGGACCAAAUUCUUAGCAUUUGGCACCGAAAACUCAUCUUUGCUCAUUGGAUUAAUCAAAGAGAUAGGAAGGGUUGAAAAGAGAGGGAGCGUGUGCUAGGCACAGGGCUCUUGAUUAACGAGGGGGCCCAGAAGAACAGCUUUCUCAGGGGGCGGCGGGGAGCGGAGCGAUCCUGCUCCUGUUGCUACCUUAGCUCGUAAGUUUCCAUCCUUGGUCCCCAGCUGAUUGUAAAUAAAGCCGAUUUUAAGGGUUCUGCUGCAAGCUAGACUCGCUGGAGUCCAGAGUUUGAGGUCACACUAAUGAGCGUGAGUUAUGGGUGCUAUCAGGUGAUUCCGUUUUGCCCUGGAUCCUGAGGCAGCUCUCUCUGGCUUGUCCCUUGGUUCUGAACUGCCUGCUGUCUGUGGGGAUGUAGGAGAGGGCAUGGCUUGCCUGGAGAAAACCGGUCUCUCAGGAUGUUCCAUCUCUUCGUUCUUAAUAAAGUCACAAUAAUAAUGAGGCAAACGGGUCCCGUAUUUGGAAUGCAAAUUGGGCCUGCAAAACCACAUCCUGGCAGAACAGCCAGAAGAGAACAGGCCCAGCAGAGCUCGACCGAAGAGUCCUUUUCAAACAUCUCCGCGGAGAACCUAUAUUUGCCCCCAGAAUGAAGGAAACAGCUUGAGACUGAGACAGCCCUGGGGAGUUCUCAGUCAAAACGAGAUUGCCCGAGGGACACCCCGGGGGAAACCCUGAUGAAGAGUCCAAGUCUGACUCAGAGAAAAUGAGAGUAAAUGAAAUGCAAAGGAACCAUCAUGACAGGGAGACAGAUUUGGAGCGGGGAGGAUAACUCAGUCUCCAGAUGCAGGGCUGAGGGAUGCUGAAAGAGCUCACCGAGUAUUUGUUAAGUUUUUGAGUCACCUAAGAGAAAUGAGCCUUCCCAGGGAAAGAACAAAGACUUCCGCCGACCUGACAGCUGCGAGCAAGGGUAGAGCCUCCGCCGCCGCAGAGCAGAUCAAAACGGCCUCUGCAGAGGCGCGUGAUAAACAGCCCACAGUCCUUUCUUCCUGACUUUUAUUUCUUCCCAAUGAUCAUUCGUGUAUUUCACGAUUUCUCAUUCCUUCGUUCACUUCCGCCCCGAGGGACAGGGUCACGGAGCAAUCAGGGACACCUCCAGGAACAGAAUAUUAAAGGCUCCAUCCUUGUUCCAAAUCCGAGAGGGAACAUUGGGGAGCCGGGGAAAAUGAAACAAAUCACUCACCCCGACGGCUCAGAAUAGAUCAUUUCGGGGCUCUGCAGCCACAUUCACGGCUGAAUCCGGAGCUCUACGAAAGGCGCUUAAGAGAUUUUUUUCCUAAUCUACUUUUUCCUCCUUAGAGCUUUGGAAAUAUGGCUGUGUAAUUUAAUGAUUACAGGAGAUGAGCGGAAGAAUGAGCUAAACAAGAUAACAUCGGCUUGCUUUGUAAUGAGGGGCCGAAUUUUCCAAAUAUAGAGCAAAAUCCAAUUGUGGCCCUGUUGUUUAUGAAUGUUUCCUGCAUGACAUUUACAUGGGAGACACUGUUGGAACCCACAGUGUCCUUUUUCAUAUCAGGAGCCUUCUCCUUGGCUCUCUGCAGAAUUAAGGGAGGAAAAUGCAAGCCAAUUUCUGUAGAUCACCCUCUUGGCCAUGUAGACUAAUGCAUUGUGCUGCUGAAAAAACUAUAGGCUGGGAUAAAUCAGACAUCUACACAAUGAGCAAUGUCCGCUGGUUUCCAUGAGAGGCAGCAGACACCCGGAAACAUCAGGAGCUUUUCAGUGCUCCUGAUUCAAAAAGGGAUACCAAGAGAUAUAAUUCGGUGUACUGGGGUUUGGCUUUGACACAGGCAUCUUGGGUCUCUGGUCCGUGCUGAGACACAUCAGGUGAACGGGCACCGGAAACUCUUGUUUACUCCUGUAACUUUCUGUUUAUCUCAAGAUAAACAUUUGGGGAAGAAAACAGUGAAGCUUCAGAUGUUGCCCUUUGAGGAGGAAAUAGGAAUAAAAGUCCUGGGCUGAAGAGAUGGCUCAGUGGUUAAGAGCACUGACUGCUCUUCCUAGAUGUCCUGAGUUCAAAUCCCAGCAACCACAUGGUGUCUCUGGUGUGUCUGAAGACAGCUACAAUGUACUUGUAUACAUAAAAUAAUUAACAAAUCUUUGAAAAAAAAUGAAUAAAAGGAGAAUUGGUGUUGCCACAGCAAGGAAUCCAAGAACUUACCAAGACUGAUGAAGUUAUCUAAUGGUUGAGAAUGCUGUCUGUCCUCAAGUAUUGAAUGGAAAGGGAAGGUUACAGUGUAAGUAGUACAACGCUGUUUUAAACAAAUGUGCUUAGCAUAAAGAUAAACAAAGGUAUAGAGUGGGCCCUUCCAGACAUGAGACCGUUAGUUGUGUGGAUUCGAUUAUGUUCCCUCAUGAAUGCAAAGGGCCACUUGAGCCACACAAGACCCUGUCUUAAAAAAAAAAAAGUUUUUCAGCUGGGAGUGACCACACACGCGUGUAAUCCUAGCACUCAGGAGGCAGAGGCAGGAGGAUCUCAGCAUUUGAGGCCAUCCAGGUCUACAGAGCAAGUUCCAGAACAGCCAGGGUUACACAGAGAAACCCUGUCUCAAAAAACUAACCAACCCGGCUGGAGAGAUGGCUCAGUGGUUAAGAGCACUGAGUGCUCUUCCUGAGUUCAAUUCCCAGCAACCACAUGGGGGCUCACAACCAUCUGUAAUGGGGGUGUGUCUGAAGACAGCUACAGUGUACCCAUCUUAUAUAUAAAAUAAAUUUAAAAAAUUUAAAAAAAAACCUAACCAACCAAACAAUUAAUUAAUAAAAAUAUAUUAUUCAUGUUGAGUUCCCGGUGUGACUGUAUUUGAUGAUACCCCUAAGAGGUAAUGUGGGUUAAAUGGGCUCAUAGGACUGACUACCUUAUAAAGGGAAAACCAGGCUGCACCUGAUUUUGGACACACACACACACACACACACACACACACACACACACCCGCCUCCAGAUCUUCAAGAGUACAGGUUUCUGUUGUGUAAGCCAUCUGAUCUGGAACAUGGUAUUUCGCUAUAGCCAUCCACACUGUUAAAGGCAGGGGAUAUUCUUACCGUUCUUGCUUGCUUGUUUCUGUGUGGUGAAUAUGAAUUACCUUAUUACUUAAGGAACAAUAAACGUGAGCUCUUUAUCCUUUUGGCUUCACCGUGCUGACAGGGUGAGACAUAAUUCUCUGAGUCUCCUUCGAGAUCAGUGUCUGGGCAGGUGAGGUAAGGUUGCAUCGACAAUCCUUCUCCACAGAGUGAAACUCUGAUGUUUCCUGUGCCCCGGAUGUCCAGAGGUAGGCUUGUAACCCUUUACCCCAAGCCUCACGGGUAACUCGUAACUUACUCUGAACCAUGUUUGUGUUUAAAUCACAUGUCUGAAUGUGUGAGUGGUGCAGGAGCACUCAGGAAGCUGAGGCAGAAGAGUCAUGAAUUGGAGAUCAACCUGAGCUACAAAGUGAGCCCUCACCUCCAACACACAAGCCAGCAACUUCUAAAAGCAAGAAUUGCUACUGCACUUUUUGACAAAGACCUUGGGGUACUGUGAUGAUUCGUGGGCAUCGGGUAUGUCUGUCCAUCCAGAAGACGUUUAUCUGUGCCUGAAGCGUGAGAGGCAUUGAGCCAAACCCAAGGAGAGCAGCGUUGAAUACAAUAUUCAGAUCUGCUGUCGGCGAGGACGGUCCACUGGGGAGCUAGACAAGUUCACAAGCAUUAUCCACAGCACUCCGACACUGAGAAGAGGAUUCUAUCGAGAUCCCUGUGCUCUGUUUGCUUAAUAGCAGGGCUGACAGCGUGAGCGGCUCAAUGUCCUUCCCCUUUGUCCUGUGAUGUCUCCAGAAUUGGGGAGUUGAAGAUGGUGUGUAAUUUGCAAUUGUAAGACAUCUCUUUAGGAACGGCUUAUUUUCCCGGUGGCUCUGAUGUCUGUGUGAACUCUGCACGUUAACGAACUUAUGGGUCCCCCCGCCACCCCACUUUGUGAAUCUGCCUCUUGUCAAAGGCGGUUCAUCAAGCUAAGGCCUAUGGGAGUUAUUCUCUGACACCUUGGGGGCACUGUGACUUUCUUCCCCUUGGCCAACAUCUGCAGCGUCAGCUUUCUUCUUUCAGAGCUCCCUACACUACUCCCCCUUCCCCUCAGCACUCUGCAACCACCUCAGUCACCCCACAUCCUUGGUGAGGAUAAACAUUUCCCUACUGGGAUUAGAUUUUGUCUCUGCCGUUGUUUGAUGCUUCGUAAUUGGCCAACAACUCUUUGUAGGAUUGAUUUGUGAGAGCCAUGAGGUAGGUAAGCCUUGCACCAGGGAGGUGUUUGCUACUAAAUUAUUUACAAGAGAUAGCAGAGAGCUUAAGUUAUAAAAGACAACUGGCAGCCUGGCUGAUGGCCCGUGUGUCCCAGCUUCCUGUGGAGAGUGGGAGCGGCAUCUCCAAACAGGUCACUCUGUCCACCUGUACCACAGGAACCGAGCAGGAGGGAAAGGAGGCUCGGUGAAGCCCUGAGCUGCCGCUCGCGUGUCUAGAAUGGAAGCAAGCAUUUCAGUUGGAUGUUGACCCACAUGUGCUACUUUUCCAGUAUUUCCUCUGAUCAGGGUAGUAAUGGGAUCAUUAAUGACUGUUUUAAAUUUAGACAGUGUUUUCUACCUGGGCAGUUUGGAGGUUUAAUAACCAGUAAGUUGAUAGCUUUGGGAAUGUGUGCUUAAUAACUUUCAUUUUUGCAAAUGAAAGAAAGCGACCCUCGAAGAACUAGAAAAUUUCUGAACAGCCGAACAGCUGUCAAAACAGGACUGAGAUCUGGGGUAGACUCGAGUCCGGGAUGCAGCAAAGCCACAGAUCACAGCUGAUGCAAAAGACUAAAGACCAUUGCCCAUGUGAUAGACAGCUAAGUUCUGUGGUCAGUAUGGCAGAUUCUCCAGCCUUGACUCUCCCCUGAGGCUGUUUUCAGAGAGACUCUGAGGAGGGCAGUGGACCUCAGGGAUACAGUGUACUGAUCUGUGCUUGAACUCCUCCUACAUGUCAGGCCUACAAACGCCCCAGGGGGCCUUCUAUUGGCUUCUGGUCCUUCACAAGUCUUUAUUGACUUCUUACGUCAGUCAGGUUCUAGGGUAGGAAAACCAAAGAAAGCCAAACACCCACCCAUCUGUCCCUGAAGAAGGAAGAUGAAAGAUGACUCCUAAAGUCCCCUCGCCAGCCUCAAGCCUCCUCCCAGUCUUUGGUUAACUCUUGGCCAUUUCUAAUGACUUCUCUACCAUCAGGCACAAUGGCAGUGACAGACCCAGGGAAAUGGCUUUUCAUUGCCACCUUCUGGCUAAGGUGAUCUCUCUCCAGUAAAUACCACCUGAAGUAUAUAAGAUAAUGUGCAUUCAAGGCCGUUGGGGAAAAGUUAUUUACUCUUUUUAUUUUAAGUCUUUCUUAAACACUGCAGUGUAUCCCAGCACCCAGGGUGUGAAUCAUGGAAGAAACUGGAGUUGACAUCUUUGGGGUUCUGUUUCAGGCCAUUAACUUAAUAGCUCUAAUUCUUGGAAACUCUGCUAAGUAGGAGAGGACUUGCCCUGUUACAUAAGCAUAUUCAUCAGCCUGAGGAAAAAAGUGCAUAGUGUUUUCUGAGUAAUGGUCACUUAGAGGAAUUCUGUGCGUUUUCCCAUCUGAUUACUCUGGAAUAUUCUCUGGGAUCUUCGGAGAGGAGGAAUGGUAACAGUUCCACGUGGCUUCCUGAACUCCAGAAUUUGCUUUCCUCCCAAGUACGACUGGGUGUGAUCUCGGGCUGUUGCUGCUGAGAAAGAUGUCAGUGGCAGAGAGAGCCGCCAGGCAGAGUAGUCUCCUGCUACCUUCAGAGGGCUCCAUGCAUGCGCGCCAGGGGAGCCAAGUCCUCAGUGCAAAGCAAAAUAGAGGAAAAGCCCACUAUUCUUUUGCCUUGAAGGAGACUGUCUACAAUGUGUCUUGCCAACAGCCUGGCUUACCAAGGGCCUACCUCCCUCUCCCUGCCAAUUUUUACCUGGAAACUAGGCAAGGGUGCAACACUACCAAUUACUCCAAGUGCGGCGAAGACAAGCGGGCAGCUAAUUGAAUUUAAUUCACUGAGGUGGCAACCAAUUUUAUGCCAGAGCUGGUAAAUAUUUUGUACUCAGUGCUCAUCUCCUGAGAAGGCAAUGCCAAUUAAUCUUGCAAGACAGAUUGUGCAUUUGAAGGGCAGAGUGGUGCAGAGUUGGGGGGGUAGCUGGCAGGGACCCCGGGCUCGAGCUCUGGCCCUCCUUAGUGGGUUAGCCCGUUCCCCUGCGCCAGGGCCAGCCUUUGCGAUAGGUCCCACUGUCUGCAAGGCAGGCCCUGUGAUGAGACUGUAGGUACAAAUUUAGAUCUGCCCAAGUAAACAAAGAUACAGCCUUCUUCACUGUGUGACAGGCUAGUGGAAUCUUCUGGGUUAGGAGCGUGCGAUGCUUAUCUAUGGAAACACUGUGUUCCUUGACGUUCUAGAUAGAAAAGGCUCGUGGCAGUCCCUGUGAUCUGCCAGCCAGCAGUGGGCUGUGGUCCCCAGGCUUCUCUUGGAUGGAGAUCACUUACUCUCUGUGCCUUUCCGUCUGUUUCUCCCACCCAUUACUUUCACCAUUCCAGGGCUGACCCGAUAACAUCCCGGGUGCCAUGUGUCUUCUUCUUCCCGGGAAAAUAGUUCACACUUAUUCUUUCCUGGGAGCACUUAGCACAGAACUUGGCCCUCAAACACCACCAAGACGAAUGAACAGGUGAAUCUUUCCCUUGUAUUGCCCCGCUCAUUCUUCAAGUGGCCAGUUAGAUGGAGCCUUCCGGCAUCCUGCAUCCAUCCAAACUCGUUUGGGAGCAGACAUAUUGGAAGCUGGCAGGAAUCGGCU